Molecule: long non-coding RNA, 1513 nt
Filed under: Homo sapiens (human)
Lineage: Eukaryota; Metazoa; Chordata; Mammalia; Primates; Hominidae
Description: long intergenic non-protein coding RNA 635
Source: RNAcentral
AUAGCAACAGCAGCGUAGCUGAACAUCUUACGGAUGGCCCAGGGCUCCAAAGGCUCGUUUCCUAAGUGAGAGAGAGCCUGGCUGAAGCUGUAUUACCAUUCAUUCUCCAGCCUCCGAAGUCUCAAAGCAUCACUUCCACCAUACUCUAACUGUCAAGACAAACACAAAGGCCCAGAAACUGCCAGACUGUCUUCUGAAGUGGCUAUAAUAUUUACACUCCCAUCAGCAGUGUAGAAGGGGUCUCACUAUGUUGUCUGGAGUGCUGUGGUGGAGUGGAGUGGCUAUUCACAGAGCCUGUUCUGCUGGGACACAGAAUCACUUGCUCCAUCUCAUACAUUGAUGAUGAUUAAUUUGUAUGUGUACCUUCCAAAAAAGAUGGUUGUGUUUGAAUGGAGGCCUUCUGGACAGGAAAAUUGCAAAGUACAAUUAACAUUUGAGUCUGUCUGAGUCAUGAAGAAAUGGAGAUUACUGAAAAUAAUUCAUUUUGGUAUCUUCUUACAUCCUGAGAGACUAAUCUUUCCAAGUUCAUCUGAGGCUCCUCUUCUCCAUGACAACCUCAUCCAGGGAUUUCUUCCUGUCCUGGUGUUUUAUGACAUGUGGAAGGGGACUGUAGCAGGUGAUCUCCAAAGUCUCUGGAGACUUACUAAUGUGAAUCACAUCCUUCCUGAGAUAAUGAGCACACAAUUGCCUGGAUACCUGAAGGAAUGGAGACAGCGGCAGAAAACACUGCAGAGAGGUGGAAACAUCCGUUAAUAUUUUAAAAUCCCAUUACUGCUACCAACAAUAAUAAUGGAUGCAUAGAAAUAGAUCUGGAUUAGCUGAGCUUGAAACAGUCCAUCUCACACACACACAAAAGAAUUUCAGAUACAGUGAACCCACAUGUUGAAGCUUUCUAGUAUAAUAAAAAUUUCAACUGUUCUGUUGAAUCAUCUGCCUGAUUGGAGGCUACAGAAAAGAUGUCAUCUUAGGAGUGCUUGCUCUGAGUGAGGCUCAUCUUCAAAUCUGAAUGACCACAAGGAGAUUUGAUUAUACAUGUGAACACCUCAGAAGGCACAGCCCACCCAGAAGGCAGACAGGUCAGGCUGCUUUUUCUUCAUUGCUUGGAUUCAAUCCUCCGGGCGGCUCAGGCUCAAACAUAACUUAAGCAUGAUUAAACUUUAGAAGAAGCUGCCAGGAAGACUGUGAAAUCUUCAUGCCCAAGGAUCCCUAAAAUUAGGAGCAACAACCACUUGGCUCAGACGGUUUAUGGAGGCAAAGGUUUGGAUGGGAUUAGAGAUUUCUAAAUGUGAGUUCGUGUCCUCUGCCAGACCACCUUACUUCCACCAUUCCUCAGCAAAUCAAGAAAAACAGGAGAAAAGACAUGCCUUUCCAUAAGUUAAAUCUAUUCUGUUUUAAUUCUAUAUUAUAUCUGCUGUACAACUUCUUUUGUUUGUAACACCAUAUUGUUGCUAGUAACUGGAAAUUAAUUUUCACAUGCCUCAGCUUAGAAAAAUAAAAAGCAGCCCUGCAUCAA